Molecule: ribosomal RNA, 484 nt
Filed under: uncultured bacterium
Lineage: Bacteria
Description: partial 16S ribosomal RNA
Rfam family: Bacterial small subunit ribosomal RNA
Source: RNAcentral
GAUGAACGCUGGCGGCGUGCUUAACACAUGCAAGUCGAACGGGAUCCAUCAGGCUUUGCUUGGUGGUGAGAGUGGCGGACGGGUGAGUAAUGCGUGACCGACCUGCCCCAUACACCGGAAUAGCUCCUGGAAACGGGUGGUAAUGCCGGAUGCUCCAGUUGAUCGCAUGGUCUUCUGGGAAAGCUUUCGCGGUAUGGGAUGGGGUCGCGUCCUAUCAGCUUGACGGCGGGGUAACGGCCCACUGUGGCUUCGACGGGUAGCCGGCCUGAGAGGGCGACCGGCGACAUUGGGACUGAGAUACGGACCAGACUCCUACGGGAGGCAGCAGUGGGGAAUAUUGCACAAUGGGCGCAAGCCUGAUGCAGCGACGCCGCGUGAGGGAUGGAGGCCUUCGGGUUGUAAACCUCUUUUAUCGGGGAGCAAGCGAGAGUGAGUUUACCCGUUGAAUAAGCACCGGCUAACUACGUGCCAGCCGCCGCCGUAA